Molecule: long non-coding RNA, 2571 nt
Filed under: Fragaria vesca (wild strawberry)
Lineage: Eukaryota; Viridiplantae; Streptophyta; Magnoliopsida; Rosales; Rosaceae
Description: long non-coding RNA (FVES_LNC000245)
Source: RNAcentral
AAUCAGCCUAGCUUGUAUAUCGUCAUUCCCCAGAUAAAUGCGGUUAAUUAAGUAUUUAUUUUGAAUUAUCAAAAAACCGUAUUUAUGUUGAAAUAAUGGGUCAUUUAAUCCGGUAAUAUUUUCCUAGAAGAAAUAGCCUACAUUAGUAGGUACAUAUAUAACUAGUUAUGUGCCACCGAAAAAAAUAAUAAUAAUACAUGGCACACCCUACACGGCUACGCAUGUGUUAGGCUGCUAAAGAAUAGUAAGUAUAAUAUUAGACAAUGGAUCUCGUCUGUCGUAUUUUCGAAAUCACUAGGAAAGAUCCUACAAAACCCUAGUCUUGGUUGGGCUGGACCUUUGGUGGCCUAGUCUCACUAGGAAAGAUCCUUACAAAACCCUAGUCUUGUUCUAUCUCUCUCUAAACGGUGAAAGGUACACCAUGAGGUCUUAGGCCUUAACUGUUGAGAGUUUAGUAUAAUCUUAGAGCGAUGUAGGUUACUAUAUUUUUUUAGUUCUCAUGUCUGCCUUGUUUAAUUUGGACACCUUUGCGGUUUGUUUUUUCAUUUCGUAGUAUUUACUUUGCAUUAAGCUUUUACUUUGUGCCUUGAGCAAUCUUCGGAUUGUUCAUUCAUUGAUCGGGUUUGGUCGUAAUAAGCUUUUUUUUAUUUUUAUUUUUUAUUUUUUAUUUUAAGUAAAGGUCGUAAUAAGCUUUAAGUCUAAAAGAGUUCCAUUUCUUUCAAAAGAAAAAAAAAAAAAUUUCUCUGAUAGUGUUUUUCAUAAAAUUUCACACGGUUAAGUCCUUAAUUUAAGUAGUUAGUAAUACAAUACACGACGUCACGAGUUUAUGGAUAUUUUUAGAUAACUAAGCUAGUUUUAGUGGUUUUUGGAAGUUUCUGAAUUAAAGAAAAUAUUUAAGAAAAUCAGAAUAUUAAAUGGUGCGAUCUGGACCGUUUAGCUUCUUUAGGGCUUCAUCUGAGCCAUUUAGAUUGAAUAUACAGAUUGCUGAAUGUGAUCAGAUGCACCAGAUCACACGCACGAAGGCCCGAACUUCUUAGACCCGGAUAGACGACCGUCGACCCGCAACCACGACCUGUAUUACGACGGCGAGAAAGAAAUAGAACAAAAGUGGAUGGUCGUUCUUCAUCAGGAGGAAUAUAGCCUUAAGCAGUGGCGUAGCCACAUGAGAGUGAGAGGGUUCAAAUGACCCUUCUCACUUUUCAAUUCUAUCCAUCAUUGGUUGAUGCAAUUACCACUUUCAUGCUUAUAUUACAAAUUAGUUUAAAAUUUGACCCUCACACUAAUUAUGUUACAUAUUACUUCUAUACGAUCUAAGAAAAUGUCUCACAAUAUAAGCAAUUGUCGUGGAUAUAAUAUAUAUUUUUAUUCAAACGGGUAAGGCUUUAGGCAAUAGUGCGAUACUAGCUUCUCUAAUGCAAAAAAGAAUGAACAAUUAUGUGCCCCCAAGUACAAGGGAGAAAAAUAAAAGAAGAUUAAAAAAUUUAUUUUUGUUUAGUAUAAUUGAUGUUAAAUUCUGACCCUCCUAGUUUAGUUUUCUGGCUACGCCACUGGCCUUAAGGUUGCAAUAUUAGUAUGAUGUAUGCUAGAAGCCUAGACUGUAUUAUUAUUCAUGCCGAAAGAAACCCAAGCAACUGAGAAUUAAACUUGUAUCGAUCGAACGCUGCAUUCAUUCUAUACAAACCCCCGCCGUUCCCAUUCGCCACGAUGGCAGGCCUCCAACAACCAACCUCUCUCACCCAUCUUCUCCCAUUGUCUCUCUCUUCAAGUACGCCGUCCCCUCCUUCCCUUCCUCUACGACGCUCCUCUCUAAGUCCCGAUCUCCGAUCUGCGUUAUCACCGGUGCCCCCGCCGACGCCGUCGAUUCUAACCGCUAAGCCAUCAAGCACUCCCCACACCUCGAUGUCAUUCAUCCCCUCCCUCGCCUCCUAGCUUCCCAAAACCCUAGCCUCCGAGCUCGCCAGAACCCCACAAUCAUGAUCGCCGCCCUCGUCUGGUUCAGGUGCAACAUGUUGCACUGAAUCCGCUCCGAUUUGUUCAGGUAUUUUUUGUUCGUUCGCUCUGAGGGCAUUUUGAUAAUCUUCGCGCGGGAAAGGGUAAAUUGGUCAUUAUGUCGUAAGCGGACGGGUUUAGGGUUUAUAAAGGAGAGAGGCAAAGAAGAAAGGAGAGAGGCAAAGGAGGCCAAACCGACGUCGCCACUCCCAAAGGUAACAAAGUUGUUUCUUUCUCUUGACCAUAUAUUUAGUAAAUGGGUGUUACGAGCCACCGCUGCUCCGCCGUAUUUGGCGGCGAUGCAUAGCCUUUACGGUCUCUAGAGAUGUUGUGUAAACUUGCCCAGCUUGAGCUUAUUGAUUUUUGGGGUUGAUUGAUGAUGCCCAGAAGAAUUGGAAAGUGAAAUGGCUCUGGAUUAGGGAAUUUAGCAGUAGAGAAGAAAGAAUAUUGGGUUUUACAUGAAUCGUGAUGUCUGCAUAUCUUAUUUACAUGAAUAUGAAACUAGUUUGGGGAGAUGCUUGAGCCGCGACAUGUGAAGUUGUAUGAUUGCGUGCCUCUGAUGUUAUGUUUUUGAUGUCAGAG